AACGAACGCUGGCGGCGCGUCUUAAACAUGCAAGUCGAACGAUCUGUAGCAAUACAGGGAGUGGCGGACGGGUGAGGAACACGUAGGAAUCUACCUUGAAGAGCGGGACAACUUUGGGAAACCGGGGCUAAUACCGCAUAGUACAGAGAUGUUAAAGGGCUAGCAAUAGUCGCUUCGAGAUGAGCCUGCGGUCUAUCAGCUUGUUGGUGAGGUAAUGGCUCACCAAGGCUACGACGGAUAGCCGGUCUGAGAGGAUGAUCGGCCACACUGGCACUGAGGCACGGGCCAGACUCCUACGGGAGGCAGCAGUUAAGAAUCUUGCGCAAUGGGGGAAACCCUGACGCAGCGACGCCGCGUGAAGGAUGAAGGCUUUCGGGUUGUAAACUUCGGUAGACUGGGAAGAAGAAAUACGUUCGUUGA
This 420-nucleotide ribosomal RNA is filed under the name uncultured bacterium. RNAcentral's name for it is "bacterial SSU rRNA". It matches the Rfam family "Bacterial small subunit ribosomal RNA", at positions 29 to 465 of the family's 1533-position model. The record is from RNAcentral.